Molecule: long non-coding RNA, 496 nt
Organism: Xiphophorus hellerii (green swordtail)
Lineage: Eukaryota; Metazoa; Chordata; Actinopteri; Cyprinodontiformes; Poeciliidae
Exons: 3
Source: RefSeq, a predicted model, not a curated record
UUCCUAACUAUAACCAAUGUCAUGUUCCGGGGUCUUUUAGCUCCUUUGUGGAGUUUUUGUGCAUGCACUCGUUUUUCUCCACCACUAGAUGGCGCCUUUACCAUUCCGUCGGAGGGCGUGGAUGACGUCAUCCCACACCUGAUGCGAGUUUUGGCUCAUCAGCGAGAUGUUCAAGAGGAGCUGACUGCCAGUCCUUCGGCGCCUGAGUGUUAGCCAGUCACGGUGUUUCCUCCUGGCUCCUCUACAACCGCUGAUCCUGAGCCUACCUGUCCGCCCUCCGACGUACUCCCUUUGCCUCCUGGAUCCCCGCUGUCAGACAAGACGACCACCUGGAACCUCUGAGAACUAAAACCCCGGACGCUGCAGUUACCCUCUCACUUCUCUAACCUGCCGAUCACAAUGAACUGUUUGUUCCCUGAACCAGCCUCUCUCCCUGGACCCGACCCGAGCCAACUAUUCCUGCCAGCAGUGUUUUCAAUAAAUUUCUUUAUUUUCA